AAAGAUUGAAUUUAAAACAGAGAACAGAUGGAUAGUUGUACCUUCGAGAAAUCCGCAGGUGGGAUUAGUAAUCGCGAGCGCUGGACAGGAGUCGUCAAAUUCCUAAAGAUUAGUCAAACGCCGUCUCUGCCAGAGUGCCAUCUGUGGGUAAAGCGGAAGAAUCUUAGAUAAAGAGAAAAAGAGAAAGGAAAAUAAAAUAAUAAAAGAUUGAAACGGUUAGGGUUAGGGUAAUAUUGUGCAGGAGGAAGAGGACGAUGGAUCCUCAACAAUGCAUCGAUCGAAAGAUGGUGCAGGUGCACUCUCAAAGAGGUUAAUGUUAUGGCCGAGGAGAGCGUACUGUCGGUCGGAGAUUGAGAGUGACGGUUAGGGCAAAUGGUGAGUCCCCUCGAUGAUGGCUCAUGAGCGGAUGAGGUUAUUAGGCGGGUCUGCUGUGGACUCAUCUCAUAAUCCAAGCGGACAUCCUUUUUUUUUUUUUUAAUGACGUUUUUUUUUUUCUUUUAAGGUGAUACGGCUUGGUGAACUAGGUAUUAAGAAUCUUAAUGGACCGCGUUUUCGCGGGUUUGAACCCGUUAACGAAAACGAUCCAAUAUGCUUAGCUUUUCCUUUCGUUUCUUGCUCAAACGAAGUCAGAAUUUCGUAAGUGGAUAGUCAAAUCGAAGAGAAAUAAAAGACGAAUAACAUAAACGUACUCACUCUCUACGGACUCACUCCGGUCGACGCGAAAUCGCGAAGGAAAAUAUCAGAGAACAUCUCUCGGAAAGUGGAAUUUCAUAAUAAAAAUGUCUACCAUACAAAUGGUCAAGGCCAACUUUAUAGAGUUUCUNGGUGAGUCCCCUCGAUGAUGGCUCAUGAGCGGAUGAGGUUAUUAGGCGGGUCUGCUGUGGACUCAUCUCAUAAUCCAAGCGGACAUCCUUUUUUUUUUUUAAUGACGUCUUUUUUUUUUAAUGACGUUUUUUUUU
This 959-nucleotide long non-coding RNA is filed under the name Ananas comosus (pineapple). Its description in RNAcentral is "long non-coding RNA (ACOM_LNC016558)". The record is from RNAcentral. Lineage: Eukaryota; Viridiplantae; Streptophyta; Magnoliopsida; Poales; Bromeliaceae.